CAGCAGCCGCGGUAAUACGAAGGGGGCUAGCGUUGUUCGGAAUUACUGGGCGUAAAGCGCACGUAGGCGGAUAUUUAAGUCAGGGGUGAAAUCCCAGAGCUCAACUCUGGAACUGCCUUUGAUACUGGGUAUCUUGAGUAUGGAAGAGGUGAGUGGAAUUCCGAGUGUAGAGGUGAAAUUCGUAGAUAUUCGGAGGAACACCAGUGGCGAAGGCGGCUCACUGGUCCAUUACUGACGCUGAGGUGCGAAAGCGUGGGGAGCAAACAGGAUUAGAUACCCCGGUAGUCCCUGUCUCUUAUAA
RNAcentral lists this ribosomal RNA (301 nucleotides) under uncultured bacterium. RNAcentral's name for it is "partial 16S ribosomal RNA". It matches the Rfam family "Bacterial small subunit ribosomal RNA", at positions 509 to 809 of the family's 1533-position model. The record is from RNAcentral.